Molecule: ribosomal RNA, 587 nt
Filed under: Ammodytes personatus (Pacific sandeel)
Lineage: Eukaryota; Metazoa; Chordata; Actinopteri; Uranoscopiformes; Ammodytidae
Description: partial 16S ribosomal RNA
Rfam family: Bacterial large subunit ribosomal RNA
Source: RNAcentral
AAAACAUCGCCUCUUGCAAAGUAAUGAAUAAGAGGUCCCGCCUGCCCUGUGACUCUAAGUUUAACGGCCGCGGUAUUUUGACCGUGCGAAGGUAGCGCAAUCACUUGUCUUUUAAAUGGAGACCUGUAUGAAUGGCAUAACGAGGGCUUAGCUGUCUCCUUUCUCUAGUCAAUGAAAUUGAUCUUCCCGUGCAGAAGCGGGGAUAGAACCAUAAGACGAGAAGACCCUAUGGAGCUUUAGACGCCAAGACAGACCAUGUUAAACACCUCCCCAUAAGGAGCCCAAACCAAAUGGUCCCUGCCCUAGUGUCUUUGGUUGGGGCGACCGCGGGGAAACAUAAAACCCCCAUGUGGAAUGGGAGCACCCUCUCCUACAACUAAGAGCUACAGCUCUAAUGAACAGAAUUUCUGACCAACAAGAUCCGGCAAUGCCGAUCAACGGACCGAGUUACCCUAGGGAUAACAGCGCAAUCCCCUUUUAGAGCCCAUAUCGACAAGGGGGUUUACGACCUCGAUGUUGGAUCAGGACAUCCUAAUGGUGCAGCCGCUAUUAAGGGUUCGUUUGUUCAACGAUUAAAGUCCUACGUG